This 111-nucleotide small nuclear RNA is filed under the name Microcebus murinus (gray mouse lemur). Lineage: Eukaryota; Metazoa; Chordata; Mammalia; Primates; Cheirogaleidae. The record is from RNAcentral.
GUGCUUGCUUUGGCAGCACAUAUACUAAAAUUGGAAUGAUACAGAGAAGAUUAGAUACAGAUCCUCCUGCAUACGGAUGCUAUGCAAAUUUGUGAUGCAUUCCAUAUUUAA